GUGUCAGACAUCAAAAAGGGAGUCGGUUGGGAAUUUUUAUUGCGUCUUUUGAUCGAGUUCUGGUCUCAUCAGCGUGUCGUAUCCGGUGCGUUCCAAUCGGACUUUCGGAGUUCAGAUAUCCGAGACAGAAGACAUAGCACAAGGGCAUAUCUUGCCACAAGAGAGACAUGUACGAGUACGGAAGGGACUGCUCGAAACAAUGUGAAAAAGUGGCCGGAAUCCUUGUGCUGUUUUCGAUACAAAUUAGUCGCUUGAAUCGGGUUCCAAAGAGCUCCGUUGGUGUGUUCCAUUCAGUUAGAGUGUUAACAGUGUGGAAGGGGACCGUUCUACUGGUACAAUAGAUACAACACAUGGUUACUUGUACAGGUACCGGACGUCCUCCAACUGUCGGUGAUCUGUAUUUGAGGAUCUAAUCGAGUCUGUAUCUUAUGAAAUGGAUAUAUUUAAAGGAAUAUUCCCCUGGUUCUGC
RNAcentral lists this unclassified non-coding RNA (469 nucleotides) under Yarrowia lipolytica. Lineage: Eukaryota; Fungi; Ascomycota; Dipodascomycetes; Dipodascales. The record is from RNAcentral.